This is a long non-coding RNA of Oncorhynchus tshawytscha (Chinook salmon), 2187 nucleotides long. The record is from Ensembl. NCBI's taxonomy places the organism in Eukaryota, Metazoa, Chordata, Actinopteri, Salmoniformes, Salmonidae.
AACAAUAUCCCAUAACGUAGUGCUCAACCACACAAACACAAACAAUAUCCCAUAACGUAGUGCUCAACCACACAAACACAAACAAUAUCCCAUAACGUAGUGCUCAACCACACUAACACAAACAAUAUCCCAUAACGUAGUGCUCAACCACACUAACAAUAUCCCAUAACGUAGUGCUCAACCACACUAACAAUAUCCCAUAACGUAGUGCUCAACCACACUAACACAAACAAUAUCCCAUAACGUAGUGCUCAACCACACUAACACAAACAAUAUCCCAUAACGUAGUGCUCAACCACACUAACACAAACAAUAUCCCAUAACCCACAGGUGGAAAAAAUGCUACUUAAGUAUGAGCCCCAAUUAGAGACAAUGAGUCAGUUGCCUCUAUUUCGGAAUCAUACCAAAACCCCAACAUAGAAAAAACAACCUAGAACCCCACAUAGAAAAUAUAAACUAGACUAACCCCCCAGUCACGCCCUGACCUACUCCACACCAUAGAAAAUAAAGCCUCUAUGGUCAGGACGUGUGUAACAGCUUUCUUCUGUUGAAGGAGAGGCAGACCAAAACGCAGUGUGGUUAUUUAGAUACAUCUUUAAUAAAGAUGAAAAUAGAAUAUACAAAAACAAGAAACGUGAAAAACCGAAAACAGCCCUAUCUGGUGUAACAAAGACAGGAACAAUCACCCACAAACCCCAACACCAAACAGGCUACCUAAAUAUGGUUCCCAAUCAGAGCCAAUGACUAACACCUGCCUCUGAUUGAGAACCAUAUCAGGCCAAACACAGAAACAGACAAACUAGACACACAACAUAGAAUGCCCACUCAGAUCACACCCUGACCAAACAAAACAUAGAAACAUACAAAGCAAACUAUGGCCAGGGUGUGACAACGUGACAGUCUGUGUGUAUUACUGACAUGGCUCCCAGAUUGUGGCCAAUUUUUAACUUGACACAUUGUAAAAUCAAACUGAGAAAAUCCCAGGUACAUAAUUAAAACAUUCUGAACUACAUACAUCAACUAAGUAGGUUUGGCCCUACAGAAGACUAUAGCUAGGGUUCAGCCCUACAGAAGAUUUAGCUAGGGUUCAGCCCUUCAGAAGAUUUAGCUAGGGUUCAGCCCUUCAGUAGACUAUAGCUUGAGUUCAGCCCUACAGAAGACUAUAGCUUGGGUUCAGCUCUACAGUAGACUAUAGCUUGGGUUCAGCCCUACAGUAGACUAUAGCUUGGGUUCAGCCCUUCAGUAGACUAUAGCUUGAGUUCAGUCCUACAGAAACCUAUAGCUUGGGUUCAGCCCUAAACAUCCCAGACAGUCCUUUCUAAUAUUGUUAUGACUACAAUGGAUGAUAGGAGUAGGACACUACUGUGUAAAUAAAUGCAUGGUCAACAAUCUUCCCCAUAAAAUAUUGCAUCUCUGAUGAGGCAUAUCAAGGAUUAUUCUCUGAUGAGGCAUAUCAAGGAUUAUUCUCUGAUGAGGCAUAUCAAGGAUUAUUCUCUGAUGAGGCAUAUCAAGGAUUAUUCUCUGAUGAGGCAUAUCAAGGAUUAUUCUUUGAUGAGGCAUAUCAAGGAUUAUUCUCUGAGGCAUAUCAAGGAUUAUUCUCUGAGGCAUAUCAAGGAUUAUUCUCUGAGGCAUAUCAAGGAUUAUUCUCUGAGGCAUAUCAAGGACUAUUUUCUGAGGGGGAAACUACGACCUGAGUUAAGUGUAAAUGGAAUGUAAUUCCCUUUUUAAGCACUUCUCUCUCUAUGCGUAUUGUGAUCUUAAACUCAAUCAUCAGAAUAACAUGCUAUUCAUUUUGGGGGGAGAGCUAAUAAAUUAAGGUGUGGCUGGAGGUGUGUCUACAGAUGUGUCAUAUUCUGACCUUGACCCUAAAAAUUCCACCACCAUUACGUUGAUAAGUUGAUAAGAGCUAGUUAAAUGAGUCAUCUGUUUGGAGAAGGGAUUUGUAAAUACACAUUCAUUGUUUUACAUGAGUUUUCCUGAUAGAAAUAGCAUUCUCCAUGCACUGUAAUUUAUAAAUUGAUGAGAUCUAUUGAUAAGAGCUAGGUAAAUGAGUCAUCUGUUUGGAGAAGGGGUUUGUAAAUACACAUUCAUUGUUUUACAUGAGUUUUUCUUAUGAUCCCUAGAGAUGAAUGUGAAACCAGUUAUAUGGAAGCAAACUGAAAGUCCUAUCAACAUGACAUGUAUUGU